RNAcentral lists this ribosomal RNA (403 nucleotides) under uncultured Megasphaera sp. RNAcentral's name for it is "bacterial SSU rRNA". It matches the Rfam family "Bacterial small subunit ribosomal RNA", at positions 148 to 525 of the family's 1533-position model. Lineage: Bacteria; Bacillati; Bacillota; Negativicutes; Veillonellales; Veillonellaceae. The record is from RNAcentral.
AGCCGGAAACGGCUGCUAAUACCGAAUACGAUCUUUUCGUCGCAUGACGGAAAGAAGAAAAAGGAUGGCCUCUAUACAAAGCUAUCGCCGAAGGAGGGGUUUGCGUCUGAUUAGCUGGUUGGAGGGUAACGGCCCAACAAGGCGACGAUCAGUAGCCGGUCUGAGAGGAUGAACGGCCACAUUGGGACUGAGACACGGCCCAGACUCCUACGGGAGGCAGCAGUGGGGAAUCUUCCGCAAUGGACGAAAGUCUGACGGAGCAACGCCGCGUGAGUGAAGAAGGUCUUCGGAUUGUAAAGCUCUGUUAUACGGGACGAAAAGGACGGAUGCCAACAGUAUCCGUCCGUGACGGUACCGUAAGAGAAAGCCACGGGCUAACUACGUGCCAGCAGCCGCGGUAAAU